This 24-nucleotide non-coding RNA is filed under the name Rattus norvegicus (Norway rat). Lineage: Eukaryota; Metazoa; Chordata; Mammalia; Rodentia; Muridae. The record is from RNAcentral.
ACGCAAACCAACGUUUUUGGAGGG